AUGGCCGCUGAUGGCACCGUGUUCCCCUGCCCCCGAGCUCGCGCCGCCGGUCCCCUACAGUUCGAUGACCAACGUGCUUCAGUCCAAAUCCAUAUGCGGGGAGCUGCGAGGAUGAAUUGCUUUUUGGGAAAAUGGAGCUCCAAAAAAAUGUGUCUACAUUUCGCAGCAGGACGAGUGAUUGAUUGCUCAAACAGUCAAACUAGUACUACUGCGAUUGAUCUGGAAGAAAUCCCAGUGCUUGAAGUGUUCGUUUUUACCAUGGAAAUGGAAGAAGAAUUAGUGCUACAAGAGAUUAGUACCUGGCUGCUGCUUGACAGGCUCUGGGACGAGGGGAAUCUGCUGGAUUGGAGGAGCCUUGGCCUCCUCCUGCUUGGGAGCCUCUGGAAUGGUAGUGGCAGGAGGAGUCUGCUGGACUGGUGCAGGAAGCGUAGCCGGGUCGGAUUGAACCAAGGACUGUGA
RNAcentral lists this ribosomal RNA (459 nucleotides) under Triticum aestivum (bread wheat). RNAcentral's name for it is "partial small subunit ribosomal RNA". The record is from RNAcentral. Lineage: Eukaryota; Viridiplantae; Streptophyta; Magnoliopsida; Poales; Poaceae.